RNAcentral lists this ribosomal RNA (1076 nucleotides) under uncultured bacterium. Its description in RNAcentral is "bacterial SSU rRNA". It matches the Rfam family "Bacterial small subunit ribosomal RNA", at positions 65 to 1140 of the family's 1533-position model. The record is from RNAcentral.
AGGGGCAGCGCGGGAUAGCAAUAUCCUGGCGGCGACCGGCGGAAGGGUGCGUAACGCGUGAGCGACAUGCCCGUUGCCCGGGGACAACCGGUGGAAACGCCGACUAAUCCCCGAUGGGAUACGAUGCUUCAUGGCAUUGUAUUGAAAGUUACGGCGGCGACGGAUUGGCUCGCGUCCGAUUAGCUUGUUGGCGGGGUAACGGCCCACCAAGGCUACGAUCGGUAGGGGUUCUGAGAGGAAGGCCCCCCACAAUGGGACUGAGACACGGCCCAUACUCCUACGGGAGGCAGCAGUGAGGAAUAUUGGUCAAUGGGCGGAAGCCUGAACCAGCCAUGCCGCGUGCGGGAAGGAGGCCCUAUGGGCUGUGAACCGCUUUUGCCUGGGGGCAAUAAGGGCGUCGCGCACGUCCGAUGAGAGUACCAGGCGAAUAAGCAUCGGCUAACUCCGUGCCAGCAGCCGCGGUAAUACGGGGGAUGCGAGCGUUAUCCGGAUUCAUUGGGUUUAAAGGGUGCGUAGGCUGUGCGUCAAGUCGGGGGUGAAAUUCCGGUGCUCAACACCGGGGCUGCCCUUGAUACUGUCGCGCUGGAGUGCGGAUGCCGCCGGAGGAAUGAGUGGUGUAGCGGUGAAAUGCUUAGAUAUCACUCAGAACACCGAUUGCGAAGGCAUCUGGCGAAUCCGUAACUGACGCUGAGGCACGAAAGCGUGGGGAUAGAACAGGAUUAGAUACCCUGGUAUUCCACGCCGUAAACGAUGAUGGCUAACCGCCGGCGACACACUGUCGGUGGCCAAGCGAAAGCGAUAAGCCAUCCACCUGGGGAGUACGUCGGCAACGAUGAAACUCAAAGGAAUUGACGGGGGCCCGCACAAGCGGAGGAACAUGUGGUUUAAUUCGAUGAUACGCGAGGAACCUUACCCGGGCUCGAACGGCACCUGGAUCGCCCAGAGAUGGGCGAGUCUUCGGACAGGUGUCGAGGUGCUGCAUGGUUGUCGUCAGCUCGUGCCGUGAGGUGUCGGCUCAAGUGCCAUAACGAGCGCAACCCUUGCCGCCAGUUGCCAUCAGGUGAUGCUGGGCACUC